UGAGGAAUAUUGCGCAAUGGGCGAAAGCCUGACGCAGCGACGCCGCGUGAAGGAUGAAGGUCUUCGGAUCGUAAACUUCUGUUAAGUGGGAAGAAAGACUCAUUUUUAAUACAGAUGAGUAAUGACGGUACCAUUAGAGAAAGCACCGGCUAACUUCGUGCCAGCAGCCGCGGUAAUACGAGGGGUGCAAGCGUUAUUCGGAAUUAUUGGGCGUAAAGGGUGUGUAGGCGGCACAUUAAGUCAACUGUUCAAUUCCCCGGCCUAACUGGGGGUCAGCAGUAGAAACUGAUAUGCUAGAGGAUGGAAGAGAGAAGUGGAAUUCUCGGAGUAGCGGUAAAAUGCGUAGAUCUCGAGAGGAACACCAAUGGCGAAGGCAGCUUCUUGGUCCAUUCCUGACGCUGAAACACGAAAGCGUGGGGAGCAAACAGGAUUAGAUACCCGUGUAGUCC
RNAcentral lists this ribosomal RNA (449 nucleotides) under uncultured bacterium. Its description in RNAcentral is "bacterial SSU rRNA". It matches the Rfam family "Bacterial small subunit ribosomal RNA", at positions 355 to 796 of the family's 1533-position model. The record is from RNAcentral.